GAUGAACGCUGGCGGCGUGCCUAAUACAUGCAAGUCGAGCGAACGGACGAGAAGCUUGCUUCUCUGAUGUUAGCGGCGGACGGGUGGGUAACACGUGGAUAACCUACCUAUAAGACUGGGAUAACUUCGGGAAACCGGAGCUAAUACCGGAUAAUAUUUUGAACCGCAUGGUUCAAAAGUGAAAGACGGUCUUGCUGUCACUUAUAGAUGGAUCCGCGCUGCAUUAGCUAGUUGGUAAGGUAACGGCUUACCAAGGCAACGAUGCAUAGCCGACCUGAGAGGGUGAUCGGCCACCCUGGAACUGAGACACGGUCCAGACUCCUACGGGAGGCCGCAGUAGGGAAUCUUCCGCAAUGGGCGAAAGCCUGACGGAGCAACGCCGCGUGAGUGAUGAAGGUCUUCGGAUCGUAAAACUCUGUUAUUAGGGAAGAACAUAUGUGUAAGUAACUGUGCACAUCUUGACGGUACCUAAUCAGAAAGCCACGGCUAACUACGUG
Molecule: ribosomal RNA, 497 nt
Filed under: uncultured bacterium
Lineage: Bacteria
Description: partial 16S ribosomal RNA
Rfam family: Bacterial small subunit ribosomal RNA
Source: RNAcentral